Molecule: ribosomal RNA, 437 nt
Filed under: uncultured bacterium
Lineage: Bacteria
Description: bacterial SSU rRNA
Rfam family: Bacterial small subunit ribosomal RNA
Source: RNAcentral
ACGAACGCUGGCGGCAGGCCUAACACAUGCAAGUCGAGCGAGGUAGCAAUACCUAGCGGCGGACGGGUGAGUAACGCGUGGGAACGUGCCCCUUGGUACGGAAUAGCCCCGGGAAACUGGGAGUAAUACCGUAUGAGCUCUACGGAGGAAAGAUUUAUCGCCAAGGGAUCGGCCCGCGUUGGAUUAGGUAGUUGGUGGGGUAAUGGCCUACCAAGCCGACGAUCCAUAGCUGGUUUGAGAGGAUGAUCAGCCACACUGGGACUGAGACACGGCCCAGACUCCUACGGGAGGCAGCAGUGGGGAAUCUUAGACAAUGGGGGAAACCCUGAUCUAGCCAUGCCGCGUGAGUGAUGAAGGCCUUCGGGUUGUAAAGCUCUUUUAGCAGGGAAGAAGCGAAAGUGACGGUACCUGCAGAAAAAGCACCGGCUAACUACGUG